Molecule: long non-coding RNA, 233 nt
Organism: Erinaceus europaeus (western European hedgehog)
Lineage: Eukaryota; Metazoa; Chordata; Mammalia; Eulipotyphla; Erinaceidae
Exons: 2
Source: RefSeq, a predicted model, not a curated record
GCAGGUGGGAAGCGGGGGCUGAACCCAGGUCCUUGGGCAUGAUGAUGUGUACUCCACCAGGUGCCCCUCUGCCCUCACACACCAGGUGAUAGGCUGGCUUGUCAAGAAGAGAAUCCUGUCAUAUAACAAAUGCUUCAAGAAAUCAAAUAGAAGCAUCUUGUCCUGUCCGUGGAGGUUGAGACAAUGUCAUGAUUGGAUACAAUGUUUUGGAAAUAGUACAAAUUUAAUCUGUG